This 216-nucleotide ribosomal RNA is filed under the name uncultured Glomus. RNAcentral describes it as "partial 18S rRNA". The stretch from base 40 to 216 matches the Rfam family "Eukaryotic small subunit ribosomal RNA", at positions 686 to 864 of the family's 1831-position model. Lineage: Eukaryota; Fungi; Glomeromycota; Glomeromycetes; Glomerales; Glomeraceae. The record is from RNAcentral.
GGGAUCAGCAGGUUGGUCGUGCCACUGGUAUGUACUAGCUUGCUGAUUCCUCCUUCUUGUAGAACCGUAAUGCCAUUAAUUUGGUGUUGCGGGGAAACAGGACUGUUACUUUGAAAAAAUUAGAGUGUUUAAAGCAGGCUAGCGCCUGAAUACAUUAGCAUGGAAUAAUGAAAUAGGACGUUCGAACCUAUUUUGUUGGUUUCUAGGAUUGACGUA